CAGGACGAACGCUGGCGGCGUGCCUAAUACAUGCAAGUCGAACGCACUGACGUCGACAGAAGGUGCUUGCACUGGAAGUUGAUUGACGUGAGUGGCGGACGGGUGAGUAACACGUGGGUAACCUGCCCUUAAGCGGGGGAUAACAUUUGGAAACAGAUGCUAAUACCGCAUAAAAGUUGAGAUCACAUGGUCUUAAUUUGAAAGACGGCCUUUGGCUGUCACUUAAGGAUGGACCCGCGGCGUAUUAGCUAGUUGGUGAGAUAAUAGCCCACCAAGGCGAUGAUACGUAGCCGACCUGAGAGGGUAAUCGGCCACAUUGGGACUGAGACACGGCCCAAACUCCUACGGGAGGCAGCAGUAGGGAAUCUUCCACAAUGGACGAAAGUCUGAUGGAGCAACGCCGCGUGAGUGAAGAAGGUUUUCGGAUCGUAAAACUCUGUUGUUGGAGAAGAACAGGGACUAGAGUAACUGUUAGUCCUUUGACGGUAUCCAACCAGAAAGCCACGGCUAACUACGUGCCAGCAGCCGCGGUAAUACGUAGGCGGCAAGCGUUGUCCGGAUUUAUUGGGCGUAAAGCGAGCGCAGGCGGUUUCUUAAGUCUGAUGUGAAAGCCUUCGGCUUAACCGAAGAAGUGCAUCAGAUACUGGGAAACUUGAGUGCAGAAGAGGAAAGUGGAACUCCAUGUGUAGCGGUGAAAUGCGUAGAUAUAUGGAAGAACACCAGUGGCGAAGGCGGCUUUCUGGUCUGUAACUGACGCUGAGGCUCGAAAGUAUGGGGAGCGAACAGGAUUAGAUACCCUGGUAGUCCAUACCGUAAACGAUGAAUGCUAAGUGUUGGAGGGUUUCCGCCCUUCAGUGCUGCAGCUAACGCAUUAAGCAUUCCGCCUGGGGAGUACGACCGCAAGGUUGAAACUCAAAGGAAUUGACGGGGGCCCGCACAAGCGGUGGAGCAUGUGGUUUAAUUCGAAGCUACGCGAAGAACCUUACCAGGUCUUGACAUCUAGCGCCAAUCCUAGAGAUAGGACGUUCCCUUCGGGGACGCUAAGACAGGUGGUGCAUGGUUGUCGUCAGCUCGUGUCGUGAGAUGUUGGGUUAAGUCCCGCAACGAGCGCAACCCUUAUGAUUAGUUGCCAGCAUUUAGUUGGGCACUCUAAUCAGACUGCCGGUGACAAACC
RNAcentral lists this ribosomal RNA (1174 nucleotides) under uncultured bacterium. Its description in RNAcentral is "bacterial SSU rRNA". It matches the Rfam family "Bacterial small subunit ribosomal RNA", at positions 25 to 1164 of the family's 1533-position model. The record is from RNAcentral.